RNAcentral lists this ribosomal RNA (253 nucleotides) under uncultured bacterium. Its description in RNAcentral is "partial 16S ribosomal RNA". It matches the Rfam family "Bacterial small subunit ribosomal RNA", at positions 524 to 776 of the family's 1533-position model. The record is from RNAcentral.
UACAUACUGUGCGAACGUUAUUCGGAUUCACUGGGCUUAAAGGGCGCGUAGGUGGCAUGUUAAGUAGGGUGUGAAAGCCCCCGGCUCAACCGGGGAACUGCACUCUAUACUGGCGUGCUAGAGUGAGAUAGGGGUGUGUGGAACUGCCAGUGGAGCGGUGAAAUGUGUUGAUAUUGGCAGGAACGCCGGUGGCGAAAGCGACACACUGGGUCUCAACUGACACUGAGGCACGAAAGCCAGGGGAGCGAACGGG